GGAAUGCUGGCGCCGCCGAGAGAAGAUGCAGAAAGCUGCAUCUUCUGCUAUGAAACCCUUGGUAAUGAGCAUGGAACCCAUAGCAUGAAAUCCUUGACAAUGAGCAUGGAACCCAGAGUGUGAAACCCCUGUCAACGAGCAGGAAGUCAGAGAGUGGAGCUAUAACUUUCUAGAACAUCAGAAGGAUCAUUAUAAUGAGUUUGACACAGCAAAGGAAAGGAGCUGUCCAGCAGCAAGAAUAGCUCUUUGAGUAGAGCUCACUCUCCCAAGACAGGAGCCCUCAGUUCAGAGCCCAACAAAUGUACAAUCCAAAGGGAUCCUUGAGUCAAGUUUACCUGGUUAUCUUGCUGAAUGUGAUGUUGCGAUUACUGUGAUAUUGCGAUUACUAAACUACACCGCAAUUACUAAA
Long non-coding RNA from Pseudophryne corroboree (corroboree frog), 409 nucleotides. RefSeq lists it as uncharacterized. The transcript has 2 exons. The record is from RefSeq and is a predicted model, not a curated record. NCBI's taxonomy places the organism in Eukaryota, Metazoa, Chordata, Amphibia, Anura, Myobatrachidae.